UUACUUUUACUUCUACUUCAAACCCCUACGUCCCCUAAACCCUAAUCGCACUUCACUCCAGACGCACGCGGCGCACGCAUUCGAGGAUUAAACACCUCCGCCGAAUGGUAUCGCCGUGCAAGGGACAAAAUCUUGAAUUAAGCCUCGUGCAACACUCAUUAGCCUUUGACUUUACGGUCCUAACCGUUCCUCUCUCUUCGCCAUCACUCUUCCUAUUUCCUUUUGAGACGCAAAGGCCAGGACACGUGCCGAAAGGAAGUCAGUCGACUGCGUAUCAAUUCCUUGACAAACACAAUGGAGUCUGCAGAAGUGCGUCACAUCGGAGAUUAUUAAAAACGCCAUCCUUUCUUAAGUUGGAAGCAUUUCAGAAGGACAUGCCGUAGGCAGAGGAUGCUCUGGCUCCCAGCAGAAACGUUAGAAAUGUGUUUGUCCUAGCAUGGGAGAACUUUGGGAAAUAGUUGGAAAGAAAAAAAAACAAAAAAAAAACAAAAAACAGAAGAGCCCAGACGCUGAUGUAUAAACAAAAGAGCAGGCGCGAGUGCCCGUCCUUUCCUCUCGGCCUGCCCCGGAACGCUAUCGCAAAACAUUCCAGUCAGCAGUAAAGGACUGGCGGAGGUCACCAAAGCAAGACAGGGGCCCUGCAGAGGUCUGUCGCCAAAUGGAGACGUGGGGGAAGAAACGCCUAAAGAUUUAUUUUUUUCUUUGCCCAAUUUGGACAAUGAUAACACCCCUUCAGCCCGGCUGUUUGUUUUUCUUUUAUUUUACGAGUUCUUUGUGGCCGAAUAUAGACUUGCAGCCAUACAAAAUGCUUUCGUAAUGUUUAGCCAUUUAAUUAGCAGUAAGGUUUAAAAAAGAAAGGAACGUUAUGACCUCUGGAAGUGGGAUGCAAAAUGCACAGGGGACAGAGAAUCAGAUUCACAACAAUCAUACAUAUACAUGAAGCAUUCCAAUCAUUGACCAAUCAGCUUUUCCUGCCAAAAGUACUCAUUAUGGAAUGCAUUACAAACAGAAAGGAUAUUAACAUCUGUUUUUGACAAGUUUAAUGAUGAAAUACUGCCUAACGAUAAAAAGUGUAGAGAAUUUAAAUUCAAAUUUGUUGACAUAUUGCAUCCAUUGUAAUUUUGUGCCAAAUCUGUAUUCAUUAUUAUGUUGUAACUCACUAUAUGGCACUAUUUUGACUUUUAGUGUCAUCAAUUGUUUUAUUUUGUGAAAAUUAUGUUGCUGAAUAAUUGUGCGUUUUGUAUUUGGUACCAUUUUAAAACGGGCCAAACACAAGUUAUGAAUCAGCCUUGGCUAGAAACUAGAUGCAGCACAUCUGUUUCUUGUUUUUAACUUGUAACAGUGUUAAAUUGCACUAUACCAAAAAAAUAAAUGACAAAAUAAAAAUAUAUAUUUUAUAUGUUCAGAUUAAAA
Molecule: long non-coding RNA, 1413 nt
Organism: Anguilla rostrata (American eel)
Lineage: Eukaryota; Metazoa; Chordata; Actinopteri; Anguilliformes; Anguillidae
Exons: 2
Source: RefSeq, a predicted model, not a curated record